CCUACGGGAGGCAGCAGUGAGGAAUAUUGGUCAAUGGCCGGAAGGCUGAACCAGCCAAGCCGCGUGAAGGACGAAGGUUCCAAGCAUUGUAAACUUCUUUUGUCAAGGGACAAAAUCAGGCUCGAGAGCCUGACCGAGGGUAUUUGAAGAAAAAGCAUCGGCUAACUCCGGGCCAGCAGCCACGGUAAUCCGGAGGGUGCGAGCGUAAUGCGGUUUUAUUGGGUUUAAAGGGUGCGUAGGCGGGUUGUUAGGUGAGCGGGAAAGGCCCGGGGUCAAACCCCGGCGAGCCGUUGAAACUGGGUGUCUUGAGAUGUCGAGAGGUAUGCGGAAUGCGCAGUGUAGCGGUGAAAUGCUUAGAUAUUGCGAAGAACUCCGAUUGCGAAGGCAGCAUACUGGCGGCGAUCUGACGCUGAGGCACGAAAGCGUGGGUAUCGAACAGGAUUAGAUACCCGUGUAGUC
RNAcentral lists this ribosomal RNA (459 nucleotides) under uncultured bacterium. Its description in RNAcentral is "partial 16S ribosomal RNA". It matches the Rfam family "Bacterial small subunit ribosomal RNA", at positions 338 to 795 of the family's 1533-position model. The record is from RNAcentral.